This 534-nucleotide long non-coding RNA is filed under the name Homo sapiens (human). RNAcentral describes it as "HSALNT0017976". Lineage: Eukaryota; Metazoa; Chordata; Mammalia; Primates; Hominidae. The record is from RNAcentral.
CUAAGUCUGAAGGCCUGAGAAACAGAGCAGCUGACCAUGUAACUCUCAGUCCAAGCCUGAAGGCCUGAGAACCUGGGAUGCCACUGGUAUAAGUCCCUAAGUUGAAGGCCAGGGAACCUGGAGUUUCAAUGUCUGAGGGCAGGAGAAGACAGAUGUCCCAGCUCCAGAAGAGCGACAGUGAAUUCACCCUUCCUCUUCCUUUUUGAUCUCUCCAGACCCCCAAGCCACUGAAUGGCACCCACCCACAUUGGGGAGGACAGAUCUUUACUCAGUCUAAAGAUUCUAAUGCUAAUCUCUGUCACAGAUGCAUCCAGCAAUAAUGUUUUACCAGCUAUGAGGUUAUCCCUUAACCCCGUGAAGUUGACACCUGAAAUUAACCAUUGCAGUUACAAUGAAGUCAAGGCAAAGGAAUAACCCUGUGGAUUCCCCACCAGAGUUGUGUUUUCUGUCUUUCUCCACCACUUCUUCCUCACUCAGUGCCAACAGAGCACAAGAGGCAUGAGGCAAUAACUUGAUUUUAACUCAGAGAUGAAA